GCUUACGACCACACCGGCCUGAGUACGCCUGAUCUCGUCUGAUCUCGGAAGCUAAGCAGGUCGGGCCUGGUUAGUACUUGGAUGGGAGACCGCCUGGGAACCAGGUGCUGUAAGCU
RNAcentral lists this ribosomal RNA (116 nucleotides) under Oncorhynchus kisutch (coho salmon). The record is from RNAcentral. Lineage: Eukaryota; Metazoa; Chordata; Actinopteri; Salmoniformes; Salmonidae.